This 253-nucleotide ribosomal RNA is filed under the name uncultured bacterium. RNAcentral describes it as "partial 16S ribosomal RNA". It matches the Rfam family "Bacterial small subunit ribosomal RNA", at positions 524 to 776 of the family's 1533-position model. The record is from RNAcentral.
UACAGAGGUCUCAAGCGUUGUUCGGAUUCAUUGGGCGUAAAGGGUGCGUAGGUGGCGCCGUAAGUGGGGUGUGAAAUUUCGGAGCUUAACUCCGAAACUGCAUUCGAUACUGCCGUGCUUGAGGACUGGAGAGGAGACUGGAAUUUACGGUGUAGCGGUGAAAUGCGUAGAUAUCGUAAGGAAGACCAGUGGCGAAGGCGGGUCUCUGGACAGUUCCUGACGCUGAGGCACGAAGGUCAGGGGAGCAAACGGG